AAACAUUCAAAAUCUUCUCGAGUAAUCUAUAGAGCUGGGAUCCUGCUGAUCCUCAGAGUCCUGUGGUCUAGUGAAUGGAGUGGUGAGAAUGAGUUAGAAUACCUGAACUUCUGGUACUAACUCCUCCGGAGCUUCACUCAAGUUUUCAUUCACUGCCCACUCUACUUUCACCGUCGAUUCUACUGGCAUUUCGCUACCCCCAAAGAGCUUUCGUAAAGAUAUCUGCAAACCUGGAGGUGUCGUUAUCUCACAAUCGUUCAUUUAAACAAACUAAAUCACUUGCAUUAAAAGUUCCGCUUCAUUCACGUCCUCUGUGUUGUCUCGGCGUUUGCCACGAAAGCGAAGGUGCUCUUCUGAAAAGACUACACCAUAGAUGGUUCCUCUCCCGCCAGCUUCAAAAGUUGAAGGCGUCCGCGCCCCCCUUCCCCCGCCCCCGCCCUUGCUAGAACUAUCACAGGGAGAGCUCAGGUUGACCGAAGCGGGCACCAGAAGGCUAUUCCUUGAGGGAUAAGGAGUCUGGCACCGGAAGGUAGACCCUGCAGCAAGACCUCACCCAGGAGAGGAGAAAUUCUACGACAGCCUAGGGGGUUAUGAUGUACCCAGUUUCCCACCAGAGCUAUUGUCCUGAGAUACUGCAAAAGCCACGUACAGACAUGCCCAUGCCGUAUGUGUAGUGAUCCCGCCAGUCAAUUCGAAUAAUAAUAUGAAGAUUUACGAAUACAUGUUCCUGUGAGUUCAUCUACAGCAAAAUGAAAUAAAGAACUUAGUCAAUUGUACAGGUACAUUCAAAAAUGACUUUGCUACAAUUAGCUUGAUAUUUAGCCAUUUAUUGAUCAGUGGUGGGGAGGGGGGUUUGUUUGAACUCUCCAAAUAAAAGCCUUAAUGUUUUGCUACCUUUC
This is a long non-coding RNA of Leopardus geoffroyi (Geoffroy's cat), 899 nucleotides long. RefSeq lists it as uncharacterized. The transcript is spliced from 2 exons. The record is from RefSeq and is a predicted model, not a curated record. Lineage: Eukaryota; Metazoa; Chordata; Mammalia; Carnivora; Felidae.